This 2080-nucleotide long non-coding RNA is filed under the name Mytilus galloprovincialis (Mediterranean mussel). The record is from RNAcentral. Lineage: Eukaryota; Metazoa; Mollusca; Bivalvia; Mytilida; Mytilidae.
GAUUUACAUUAUUUUAUGAUCUGACAAAAUCUUGUUGACAUAAUUACAUAAAUGAUGAACAUACAUAUAUGCAUACAAUGAAAUAAAUAGGUUAAUUGAUAAGACAACGAUAUUCAGAGGUUUUCUUUAAAGUCAUAUGAAAUGAGUGAGUAGUGAAAAAUAAUGUUUAUCCAAUUCGUGAACCAAUGCAUGUAUAUAUCAUAAACUUAGUCCUCUGUAGACAAUUUUAUCAUUUUUUAAGCAAAUAUAUUGUAUAAUAGUCAAUUUUUUUUCUCUCUGUCUGUUAUGAUUUAACAAAUAUGGCUGCUCAUUAAAUGCCGUGUUUUAAAGCCGAAGUUUACCGAUUGUCACCUUAUAGUAUUAAACAAAUAACAAAAAGCAUGGGUAUUGAGCACGUGUUUAACAUGUACAAUCAGAUAAUUGUUUAUUUUAAUGACAGAUCCAUGCGUAUUGCGAUCACCAGAUUUUUACGAGAAGGGUUACGCUCAGGUCACUAUGCAUACUGAAAAUAUGUCAGCGAAUUGCUUCCUGGAAGCAAGCAAUUAAAAAUAAGUAAACUUCUUCUAAAUGUGUACAAAUUAAAGAAAGUUCCUCAGAAAAAAGUAUAUGUACAUAAGUUGUAUAAUGGAAACUAUUCAUUUAGUUAUAAAAAUCACAUGCAUGAUUUAUUUUAAUUUGAGGUUUCUUAUGACUUUAAGUCAGAUGAUAAUCCUAAUCUUUUGUUUGUAGAGUAAUAAAAAACUAUCAAGAACUGUCAAUCAAUGUCAUUUAGCAGUCUAAUGCGUCUGUAAUGCAAUGAAGUCCUAAUACAUUUACUGAAUUCUGAGGAAAAUUUAAAACCGAAAGUCCCUAAUGAAAUGGCAAAAUAAAAUGACAAAACACUUCAAAUGAAUGGACAACAACUGUCAUAUUCCUGACUUGGUACAGGCAUUUUCAAAUAUAGAAAAUGGUGGAUUGAACCUGGUUCUAUAGCGUUAAACCUCUUAAUACAACCUUUAAUGAUGAUUUUUUUCCAUCAUUGCUUAAUAUAUUGAUUGAUAUAAACAAUAAUUAGCACAAAUUGACAGCAAAACAAGAUUUCCCUUGGAUAAAACAUCGAAGGUGUGUGAAUAAACUCAUUAUAUAUACCAGGAUUAAAAUUAUAUAUUUGCCAGACGCGCGUUUCGUCUACAAAAGACUCAUCAGUGCUCGAAUAAAAAAAUGUUUAAUUUAAAAAAAAAGUACAAAAUUGAAGAGCAUUGAGGACCAAAAAUUCUUUAAAGUUUUGCCAACUACAGCUAAGGUAAUCUAUUCCUGAGGUAGAAAAGCCUUAGUAUUUCAAAAUUCAAAGUUUUGUUAACAGUUAAUUUAUAAUUAUGGACAUAUCAAUGAUAACUCAAGUCAACACAGACGUGCUGGCUACUGGACUGGUGAUACCCUCUUGGAAAUAAAUCUCCACCAGCAGUGGCAUCAACCCAGUUGUUGUAAAAUAAAGCCAGUUAGCUUGAGCAGGUUACAACACUUUUUUAGUAGUCACUGUUAUUAUGAAAUGCAAUUAUUGAUUUUUCACAACCGAAAGUUAAGAUCAGUUUUAUUGAGUAUUGUCAAUUAUAAAGUGAAAUCUAAACUAUUGUUUCUAAACUUGAAAACCACGAAAAUUAAUCCCCAAGAACUUAUUUUUGGAUACAACAAAACAAUGAAAUUUUAACCCCACGAAUAUUAAUGUUUAUCGCUAUUUUGCGCAUUUUUCCUUUUAACUUUUUUUUGUGAUAAUUAUUCAUAUCAUGCUACUUGCUAGAGAUGAAAAAAUAUCGCUAGAAAAUAAGGCGACAUGUGGCAUUACUAAUGAAAUUGACAUAGGUAAAAAAGCAUUAAACAGAUUAUCAUUGGUCAUCUCAACUCGAUUGUUUUUCUUGCUUUCGCCGUACCAGCACAAGCGAGAAAAGCAAUUUUGUUGAGAUGAUCAACAAUAAUCUAUAAUUAUACAGUACUCUUAAAAAAAAUUGAAAAUAAAAAGUGUAUAUUGAAACCUUUUAAACACAAAAGAGAGCCAUUUUUUGAUUAGUCAGACAUUCAUUUUUUUGUAAAACAAAUCCCAAGC